Molecule: ribosomal RNA, 253 nt
Filed under: uncultured bacterium
Lineage: Bacteria
Description: partial 16S ribosomal RNA
Rfam family: Bacterial small subunit ribosomal RNA
Source: RNAcentral
UACGUAGGGUGCGAGCGUUACUCGGAAUUACUGGGCGUAAAGCGUGCGCAGGCGGCUUUGUAAGCCCGUUGUGAAAUCCCCGGGCUUAACCUGGGAAUGGCAUUUGGGACUGCAAGGCUCGAGUGCGGCAGAGGAGACUGGAAUUCCUGGUGUAGCAGUGAAAUGCGUAGAUAUCAGGAGGAACACCGAUGGCGAAGGCAGGUCUCUGGGCUGACACUGACGCUCAUGCACGAAAGCGUGGGGAGCAAACAGG